RNAcentral lists this ribosomal RNA (351 nucleotides) under Hastula albula. RNAcentral describes it as "partial 12S ribosomal RNA". Lineage: Eukaryota; Metazoa; Mollusca; Gastropoda; Neogastropoda; Terebridae. The record is from RNAcentral.
UACCNGAGUACUAUGAAUGAAUAAAAAUUUAAAACUCAAAGGACUUGGCGGUGUCUUAGACCAUUUAGGGGAACCUGUCUCGUAAUCGACAGUCCACGUUAUACCUGACCUUUCUUUGUAAAGCAGUUUGUAUACCGUUGUCGUCAGGUAACUUUUUAGAAAAAUGAAGUUAGCAAUAUAAAUAAAUUAUUUGGGACGUCAAAUCAAGGUGCAGCUAAUGGAGAGGAGAGGAUGGGUUACAAUUAUUUAAUUUAUAAUUUUACGGAUAUAGUUAUAGAAAAAUUCUAUGUAAGGAGGACUUAAAAGUAAAUUGAUAUAUAAAAACAAUUUGAAUGAGGCUCUGAGACGUGU